UGAAGGAUUUCGGUCUGUAAAGCUCUGUUGUUUAUGACGAACGUGCAGUGUGUGAACAAUGCAUUGCAAUGACGGUAGUAAACGAGGAAGCCACGGCUAACUACGUGCC
This 109-nucleotide ribosomal RNA is filed under the name uncultured bacterium. RNAcentral describes it as "partial 16S ribosomal RNA". The record is from RNAcentral.